RNAcentral lists this ribosomal RNA (451 nucleotides) under uncultured Staphylococcus sp. Its description in RNAcentral is "partial 16S ribosomal RNA". The record is from RNAcentral. Lineage: Bacteria; Bacillati; Bacillota; Bacilli; Caryophanales; Staphylococcaceae.
CACGUAGUUAGCCGUGGCUUUCUGAUUAGGUACCGUCAAGACGUGCACAGUUACUUACACAUUUGUUCUUCCCUAAUAACAGAGUUUUACGAUCCGAAGACCUUCAUCACUCACGCGGCGUUGCUCCGUCAGGCUUUCGCCCAUUGCGGAAGAUUCCCUACUGCUGCCUCCCGUAGGAAUCUGGACCGUGUCUCAGUUCCAGUGUGGCCGAUCACCCUCUCAGGUCGGCUACGUAUCGUUGCCUUGGUAAGCCAUUACCCCACCAACUAGCUAAUACGGCGCGGGUCCAUCUAUAAGUGAUAGUAAACCAUCUUUCACUUUAGAACCUAUGCGGUUACUAAAUACUUAUCCGGCUAGUUACGCCCCCGGUUUCCCGGAGUUACUUCCAGUUCUUAUUAGGUACGGUUACCCGUACGUUAGUUACCUCACCCCGUCCGCCGCGUUAAACCGU